UAUGUGAUCGUCUCUCGCAUAUCAAUAAGCGGAGGAAAAGAAACUAACAAGGAUUCCCCUAGUAACGGCGAGUGAAGCGGGAAGAGCUCAAAUUUGAAAUCUUAAAGGGUUUCCCUUUACGAAUUGUAGUUUAAAGAAGUGUUUUCUGUUGAGGUUUUGGUAAAAGUUCUUUGGAAUAGGACAUCAUAGAGGGUGAGAAUCCCGUAUUUGACCUUUACUUUCAACUUUGUGAUACACUUUCAAAGAGUCGGAUUGUUUGGGAAUGCAGUCCGAAAUGGGUGGUAAAUUUCAUCUAAAGCUAAAUAUUGGCGAGAGACCGAUAGCGAACAAGUACCGUGAGGGAAAGAUGAAAAGAACUUUGAAAAGAGAGUUAAACAGUACGUGAAAUUGUCAAAAGGGAAGCGUUUGACACCAGUGUUGUUUUUCUGAAAAUCAAUUAAAGAACUGUUUAUGCUAAGCUGUUUAGACUUUAUCAGCUAACUGUUUAGUUUUGAGCUUUUCUUUAAUGCACUUUUCAGUUAACAAGUCAACAUCAAUUUCUUUUGCUGUAAAAAAGCUUGAGGAAGGUGGCUUGAGAUUCGUCUUAAGUGUUUAUAGCCUCUUGCCUAUGCAGUCGGAGAGAUUGAGGUCUGCAGCGUAGAUCCUUCGGGGCUAAAUGCAUUUGUGCUAAGUUAUAGCAUUUUAUAGACAACUUGUUGACUAUGAUUUGUCUUGUAGCUUACUCGCUUAUGUUAUUUUACCUACGCUUAGGAUGUUGAGUAGCGACAUACGCAC
This 774-nucleotide ribosomal RNA is filed under the name uncultured Neocallimastigales. Its description in RNAcentral is "partial large subunit ribosomal RNA". It matches the Rfam family "Eukaryotic large subunit ribosomal RNA", at positions 24 to 649 of the family's 3401-position model. The record is from RNAcentral. Lineage: Eukaryota; Fungi; Neocallimastigomycota; Neocallimastigomycetes; Neocallimastigales.